This 252-nucleotide ribosomal RNA is filed under the name uncultured Coriobacteriaceae bacterium. Its description in RNAcentral is "partial 16S ribosomal RNA". It matches the Rfam family "Bacterial small subunit ribosomal RNA", at positions 524 to 776 of the family's 1533-position model. Lineage: Bacteria; Bacillati; Actinomycetota; Coriobacteriia; Coriobacteriales; Coriobacteriaceae. The record is from RNAcentral.
UACGUAGGGGGCGAGCGUUAUCCGGAUUCAUUGGGCGUAAAGCGCGCGUAGGCGGCCUGUUAGGUCGGGGGUCAAAUACCGGGGCUCAACCCCGGUCCGCCCCCGAUACCGGCAGGCUUGAGUGUGGUAGGGGAAGGCGGAAUUCCCGGUGUAGCGGUGGAAUGCGCAGAUAUCGGGAAGAACACCGGUGGCGAAGGCGGCCUUCUGGGCCAUCACUGACGCUGAGGCACGAAAGCGUGGGGAGCAAAUAGG